Long non-coding RNA from Cyprinus carpio (common carp), 461 nucleotides. RefSeq lists it as uncharacterized. The record is from RefSeq and is a predicted model, not a curated record. NCBI's taxonomy places the organism in Eukaryota, Metazoa, Chordata, Actinopteri, Cypriniformes, Cyprinidae. The transcript has 3 exons.
CAUUUUAACACCGCUUGUGUCAUUUUGUGGGGCUUUGCGUACACUGGAGAGUCUAUUGUAAACAACCGUUACGUGCGGUCUGGCUUGUUACACUGCCUAGUCCCAGGUACGUAAGAUUUAGUAUAUUGCCAGAGGUUUUAGGUGAUGUGGUGUGGGGGUCAGCUAUGUUUAUCUUUACCGCAGCAUUCCCGUGUGUUUACCGUUUGAGUGGGGACAUCCAAUAUAUGCUGUUUGGCAUCUACUUCAUUUCUAUCCCGUGGAUACUGACGUCAGCUCUGCUUUCUGGUGUGGCAAACGGCUGCGUUAUUUGGAGCUGUGUGUCCGACGGCAGUGAGGCUUUCCUUCACCGUGUGCUGUGUUAUGCUGUGUGAGCACCACUGAUAAAAUCACGGGAACAAGACAGCAGCGUAGACUCUUUGAAGGGUCUCUUUGGCUACCUCCCCUGAUUGUGUUUCAGGUCA